This 733-nucleotide ribosomal RNA is filed under the name Pseudarthrobacter polychromogenes. RNAcentral describes it as "bacterial SSU rRNA". It matches the Rfam family "Bacterial small subunit ribosomal RNA", at positions 82 to 828 of the family's 1533-position model. Lineage: Bacteria; Bacillati; Actinomycetota; Actinomycetes; Micrococcales; Micrococcaceae. The record is from RNAcentral.
UGCUGGGGGAUUAGUGGCGAACGGGUGAGUAACACGUGAGUAACCUGCCCUUGACUCUGGGAUAAGCCUGGGAAACUGGGUCUAAUACCGGAUACGACCAUCUGGCGCAUGUCAUGGUGGUGGAAAGCUUUUGUGGUUUUGGAUGGACUCGCGGCCUAUCAGCUUGUUGGUGGGGUAAUGGCCUACCAAGGCGACGACGGGUAGCCGGCCUGAGAGGGUGACCGGCCACACUGGGACUGAGACACGGCCCAGACUCCUACGGGAGGCAGCAGUGGGGAAUAUUGCACAAUGGGCGCAAGCCUGAUGCAGCGACGCCGCGUGAGGGAUGACGGCCUUCGGGUUGUAAACCUCUUUCAGUAGGGAAGAAGCGAAAGUGACGGUACCUGCAGAAGAAGCGCCGGCUAACUACGUGCCAGCAGCCGCGGUAAUACGUAGGGCGCAAGCGUUAUCCGGAAUUAUUGGGCGUAAAGAGCUCGUAGGCGGUUUGUCGCGUCUGCUGUGAAAGACCGGGGCUCAACUCCGGUUCUGCAGUGGGUACGGGCAGACUAGAGUGCAGUAGGGGAGACUGGAAUUCCUGGUGUAGCGGUGAAAUGCGCAGAUAUCAGGAGGAACACCGAUGGCGAAGGCAGGUCUCUGGGCUGUAACUGACGCUGAGGAGCGAAAGCAUGGGGAGCGAACAGGAUUAGAUACCCUGGUAGUCCAUGCCGUAAACGUUGGGCACUAGGUGUGGGGG